RNAcentral lists this ribosomal RNA (404 nucleotides) under uncultured bacterium. RNAcentral describes it as "bacterial SSU rRNA". It matches the Rfam family "Bacterial small subunit ribosomal RNA", at positions 355 to 776 of the family's 1533-position model. The record is from RNAcentral.
UGGGGGAUAUUGCACAAUGGGGGAAACCCUGAUGCAGCGACGCCGCGUGUGGGAAGACGGUCCUCUGGAUUGUAAACCACUGUCCCCAGGGACGAAGAUGACGGUACCUGGGGAGGAAGCUCCGGCUAACUACGUGCCAGCAGCCGCGGUAAUACGUAGGGAGCAAGCGUUGUCCGGAAUUACUGGGUGUAAAGGGAGCGUAGGCGGGGGUACAAGUUGGGUGUUAAAUCUGCCGGCUCAACUGGCAGCUGCACUCAAAACUGUACCUCUUGAGUGAAGUAGAGGCAGGCGGAAUUCCUAGUGUAGCGGUGAAAUGCGUAGAUAUUAGGAGGAACACCAGUGGCGAAGGCGGCCUGCUGGGCUUUUACUGACGCUGAGGCUCGAAAGUGUGGGGAGCAAACAGG